RNAcentral lists this long non-coding RNA (346 nucleotides) under Zostera marina. RNAcentral describes it as "long non-coding RNA (ZMAR_LNC003649)". Lineage: Eukaryota; Viridiplantae; Streptophyta; Magnoliopsida; Alismatales; Zosteraceae. The record is from RNAcentral.
GUAAGAACAAGAGGCAGAAAAAAAGAAGAUUCUAUUUAUACAUACCUGAUUCCACUCUUUGGUUUGGGUUCAACACGAAGUGGUAGAGGCAAUGGCACUGGUGAAGAAUCUGCUAGUGUUGCAGCUCUGUAAUAAGUAAUUAAGGAAAAUAUAGAACAUAAAAAGAAAUAUUUAUCAAUGUUUGAUUAAUAUUGUGAAACAAAAGGAUAUCUUAAAGGCAGCAAAAGCACGUUUCUCAGUUCGCCUGAGUAGACGUUCUGCAUCCUCCUCAGCUUCCAUUUGCUCCUUGAGGUAUAACAAGUCAUCACUGUCUAAAGCUGCAUAAAAAGUGUUCAAACAAUAAAAA